Molecule: ribosomal RNA, 279 nt
Filed under: uncultured bacterium
Lineage: Bacteria
Description: partial 16S ribosomal RNA
Rfam family: Bacterial small subunit ribosomal RNA
Source: RNAcentral
UGCCAGCCGCCGCGGUAAUACGGAGGGGGCAAGCGUUGUUCGGAAUUACUGGGCGUAAAGGGCGUGUAGGCGGUUCGUUAAGUCUGAUGUGAAAGCCCGGGGCUCAACCCCGGAAGUGCAUUGGAAACUGGAAGUCUGGAGUUCAGGAGAGGUUAGCGGAAUACCGAGUGUAGAGGUGAAAUUCGUAGAUAUUCGGUGGAACACCAGUGGCGAAGGCGGCUAACUGGACUGAUACUGACGCUGAGGUGCGAAAGUGUGGGGAGCAAACAGGAUUAGAUA